This is a small nuclear RNA of Gastrolobium bilobum, 118 nucleotides long. RefSeq annotates it as U5 spliceosomal RNA. The transcript has a single exon. NCBI's taxonomy places the organism in Eukaryota, Viridiplantae, Streptophyta, Magnoliopsida, Fabales, Fabaceae. The record is from RefSeq and is a predicted model, not a curated record.
GAGCCAUGUGGUGAGCACAAAGCGAACUAUUCUUUCGCCUUUUACUAAAGAAUACCGUGUGUUCGUCAUCUUUGUUGGCAUACGCUUAUUUUUGGAGUGGUCCUCCGUUGGAGGGCCC